Molecule: ribosomal RNA, 3090 nt
Filed under: Arachis hypogaea (peanut)
Lineage: Eukaryota; Viridiplantae; Streptophyta; Magnoliopsida; Fabales; Fabaceae
Description: bacterial LSU rRNA
Rfam family: Bacterial large subunit ribosomal RNA (bases 1552-2773)
Source: RNAcentral
AUUGAAAAUCCUAACCCUUAUUAGUCACCGGACCCGCUACCGCCGCACCCUGUUCCAUCACCAUCACCAUGCUUGAACUACUACCACUGCAUCAUUGUUAUUUUUAUAUAUGUAUUUCUACAAAUUUAAUUAAUUUAUUUCUUCAAUGGAAUUAAUCAAAAUUAUUUUUAAAUGUGUGUGUAUUCUCUUAUUUUAAUUACAUUGCAAUUAUAUUUCGUUUCAUCUGAUAAAAUUUUAUUUACUUUAGAAUAUGUUAUUUUAAGAGUUUUAAUAAAUUUAAGAUAAUUAGCAUUAUUUAUUUUCAAUAUAUUUAUUUUAAUCAAAAUUUAAAAUAAUUUUUAUGUAUAUUUAUCUUUUGAACUUUUACAUAGUUAUUAGAGUUAUGAUUUUUUUUUCAUUUAAUAAAAAUUUAGUUAUUUUAGAUUGUGUUAUUUUAUGGGGUUAUAAUAAGAUUUAAGGUAAUUAGGAUUAUUUAGCUAGGUUAAAUGUUACUUUGUAUAAUUUAGUGAAGUUAUUAACUUAAAUUUUUUUAAGGAUUUUUUUUGGUGUAGUUUUAAUUAUGGGUUGUUCAUGCAGUUACAUUUAAUUUUGUGGGUUUAUUUGUAUAGUACUCAAAUUAGUUCUCCAUCUAUAUUGGACUUAAUUUUUUUACGAUAGAGUUUUAGGAUGAAAGUGAGAGAAUGUUGUUUAAUGGUACCUUCUUAAAAUCUUUGUUUGCCAAAAAAUUAUGGAAUAAUAAGGGAAUGCAUUCUAGAAUUUGAUAUUUGUUUGAAUGCAUCUUUGUUUUAUUUAUGCUUGCAAUUAUUUACUUUUUGAAAAUUGAGAUUUUUAAAUUUGGUAGAGUACUCUGAAUUAAGAAAAUAUUCUACUAAUUUUUGAUUAACAUUGUUUAAAGACAUUUGUUGAAUUAUGUAUAUGUUGUUGAAUUUGUUUGGUUUGUAAAAAUUGAAAGUUAUAUUUGAUGGAUGUGUCUAAUUAUAGCUAAAAUUCUACCAAUUUUUUUUAAAUUAAUAAUUUAAGUGGUAUUCUUGGUUGAAUUUUAGGUUGUUUGUGAUAAAAUAAUUUUGAGUCAUCAUUUUAUGAAUGUAUGAUAAGGAUAACAGUAAACGGGGGGAUUAAAACCUGAGUUCUUUAAGGGUGUUGAUUAAUUUGUUGCAUAUGUGUUUAACAUAAAACCUUUUAAGUCUCAAAGGGUAUCUAGAUGUCCAUGCUAUAAGUGUCAACUAACUAAAUAGUUAGGAGCUUCAAAUAUAAUUCUUCACUUUUAUCGUAACGAGUUCAAGGAUGGGUAUUGGGUGUAAACUGAAAACGGAGAAGUUGAUAAGAAGAAAAUCAAUUGGUCUGCACUGAUUGCCAAUAAGUUUGAGGGCCAGUCAAGGAGGGUGAACUUGGUUAGAGAAGUGAACAUAGAAGAGGUAGAAACAAAGAGAUUUUAUGAUUUGUUAGAAUCUACUGCACAACCACUGUUUGAGGGGUAUAUUCACUCAAAAUUGUGUGUCUGUAUUAGAAUGAUGAGUAUUAAGUCUACGUCAGAUCACACCAAGCAUUGUUGUCAAACUUGUGAGUUAACUUGUAAACUCGUAGGUAGUGGAAUCAAGUUAACUCGAACAUAAACUCGGUCUUAACUAAACUAAACCUAAACUCGCAAGCCGAGGUGCGAGUUAACGAGUUUGAAUUGUUGCCCAGUUUUGGCUAAAAAUGACAUCAUUUAGCCCCAAAAAAGAGAGAAAAGCGUUUUUUCAUUAGGGUUUUUGUCCAGAACACUCACCCCUUUCCCCUCUCACUCUCUGCACUGUUUCUAAGUCUCUUUAGUCACAAAUCUCAUGCUCUCUAUGUUCUUCUGUCGUCUGCCGUUCACCCUCGUGCUACUGUCUGACAUGCUAUUUUUGUUCACCUGCUUCUCCUAGCAUUGUUCUACACGCCUGCCCAGUGCUGGAAGGUCAAGGAAGUUGGUGACCUGAUGAUAGGGGAGCCGGCGACCAAAGCCCCGGUGAACGGCGGCCAUAACUAUAACGGUCCUAAGGUAGCGAAAUUCUUUGUCGGGUAAGUUCCGACCCGCACGAAAGGCGUAACGAUCUGGGCACUGUCUCGGAGAGAGGCUCGGUGAAAUAGACAUGUCUGUGAAGAUGCGGACUACCUCCACCUGGACAGAAAGACCCUAUGAAGCUUCACUGUUCCCUGGGAUUGGCUUUGGGCUUUUCCUGCGCAGCUUAGGUGGAAGGCGAAAAAGGCCUCCUUCUAGGGGGGCCCGAGCCAUCAAUGAGAUACCACUAUGGAAGAGCUAGAAUUCUAACCUUGUGCCAGGACCUACGGGCCAAGGGACAGUCUCAGGUAGAUAGUUUCUAUGGGGUGUAUGCCUCCCAAAAGGUAACGGAGGCGUGCAAAGGUUUCCUCGGGCCAGACGGAGAUUGGCCCUCAAGUGCAAAGGCAUAAGGGAGCUUGACUGCAAGACCCACCCGUUGAGAGCAGGGAUGAAAGUCGGCCUUAGUGAUCCGACGGUGCCGAGUGGAAGGGUCGUCGCUCAACGGAUAAAAGUUACUCUAGGGAUAAUAGGCUGAUCUUCCCCAAGAGUUAGUUCAUAUCGACAGGAUGGUUUGGCACCUCGAUGUCUGCUCUUCACCACCUGGGGCUGUAGUAUGUUCCAAGGAUUGGGCUGUUCGUCCAUUAAAGCGGUACAUGAGCUGGGUUCAGAACGUCGUGAGACAGUUCGGUCCAUAUCCGGUGUGGGCAUUUUCCCUCUCUUUUUCUUUUGCUCUAUGUUGUGUUUUGCCUCACGCAUUUGCUUCCUGCUGUUCUCACUUCUCCGCUAUUCUCCUACUUUUCCUACCUCUGCUGUGUUCGCACCUUUAUCUCUGCCUCUUUGUAUCUCUAAUUUGCUUUGCUUCACGCCUCCAAGCUCUGCUCUGCCCAACUGCCUCCAUUCUCUAUCGCAACUGACUGCUUGACCAUCAUUUUCUUUAACUGUGUUGUUCGGUCGCUAUAUUCAAGCUUCUAAUUUGUAGCAGCUGCCACUAGCUAGUAAGUAUACAAGUUGGUGAAGCAUUAGAAAGUUUGUUACAGGUAUUUUUUUUUAAAAUAUUAUUACUUUUA